This 321-nucleotide unclassified non-coding RNA is filed under the name uncultured fungus. RNAcentral describes it as "partial internal transcribed spacer 1". Lineage: Eukaryota; Fungi. The record is from RNAcentral.
CUAUUAUUGACUAUCAAUGCUCCAGUGAAUUGCGGUGAUAUUAUCGUUAUCACCUAUUCUGGAUAUAAUCAGCUCUCGCGUUUUACGAUAAUCAGCAUGACCCACGAGCUCGGCACGAAUUUCUUUAUAGCCCUGUUCCUGAGCGGGGACCGAACCUAACCCUUGUAAACAGAUCGCGGCCUCUUUUACGAUAUUCAGUAACCACUGACGAACCGCGCUCUCAUCUUCUUUAUUACAGGUUACUUUCAGGAUAUAACGUUUUUCUGCCUCGGCGGAUACCGGGAGUUGAUUUAUACGCUGCGCCGCUUCACGCAAUAAAAU